UACGUAGGGUGCAAGCGUUGUCCGGAAUUAUUGGGCGUAAAGAGCUCGUAGGCGGCUUGUCGCGUCGGCUGUGAAAACCUGGGGCUCAACCCCGGGCCUGCAGCCGAUACGGGCAAGCUAGAAUUCGGUAGGGGAGACUGGAAUUCCUGGUGUAGCGGUGAAAUGCGCAGAUAUCAGGAAGAACACCAAUGGCGAAGGCAGCUCUCUGGGACGGUACUGACGCUGAGACGCGAAAGCGUGGGGAGCGAACAGG
This 253-nucleotide ribosomal RNA is filed under the name uncultured bacterium. RNAcentral's name for it is "partial 16S ribosomal RNA". It matches the Rfam family "Bacterial small subunit ribosomal RNA", at positions 524 to 776 of the family's 1533-position model. The record is from RNAcentral.